CCCUCAGCGCAAACCCGGAAUAUCCAGGGACUCGCUCGUCAUUCGGUCCAUUUUACAAAGGAGGAGACUGAGGUCCGGAGUGGUCUGUGGACUUGUCCAACCCUCCGGGGAUCCCAGACCCCCUUUCCUCUGCACUGUCCUGGUGGACUUCCUGCUCCUGCCCCGGCUGGGUGGGGGCCCCGCAGCACCCCCUCCGUGCGCCCUGCGGCUCAGAGGGGAAGCUGUUGCCCCAGCUUGGCUUGAGCGCACAAGGACUGGGGAGUCCCGCUGCCCCCGCCCUGUGCCCCCCGCGGCCCAGACCCGCCUUGGAACCCCAGGGCUGCCGGCCCCACCCCUGACGCCUGCUGAAGCCCGGCACCGCACAGGCCCGACCGCAGCGCCCACUGCGCCGUCAGGGAGACUGAGGCUGAGACCGACAGCGACGACCCAGGACUUAGAAGCUGGGCUGAGUAGAACAAAGAUCCUUUGUCCCUCUUUGCUCUGUGUAGCCCUGGCAUGUGGGUCCUGUUUUCUACCGGACAUCUGUCUUUUCUAGGUUUGGAAUAUUGUGGUACAGACUAUUUCCUGGCCUAGAAAUACUUCCACUAUAGAUUAAAAUGUAAAAAGGCUCAGUCCUUAGUCCUUAGCCCAUAUAAGUCCUCAGUAACUAUCUGUGCUGGAAUGUUAGCUGAUGAAUCACGAACCAGUGCCUGUCCUCCGGGGCUUCAUAUUUAAGCUCCACACAGGGAAUGUAGUGAUGACCUGCCCCUGGAAGUGGCUGAGCAGAUACUAAAAACGUCCUGGGCUCACAGAGCCCUUCAGUUUCCUCGUGCAAAGGUUCUGCACCACAUGCCAGGGCUACAGAGCAAAGGAGGGAUCAUCCGAGGAGGCGGAAAGUCUUCACAGAGGAGGUGACAUUUGAACUGGUUUUGAAGGUGCAGAAGAAUCUCCAAAAGGAGAAAGAGAAGAGUGCGUUGGGCAAGCAGCACCUGUAAGACCCAGAAGCAUGAAGGGUGAGUUGCAGUUGUGACCCGAGUGAAACCUUAGAGCAGCUCUGCAAUCCCAGGAGGCAGAUGCUGCUCAUCAUAUUAGCAAGUGUUUAUUGAGCACUUCGUGUGUGCCUGGCACUAUGGGUGUUCUAAACAUAUCAAUUUCUUUAAUCUCCAUCAAGCUUAUGAGGUAGCUGCUAUCUAUCCCCA
RNAcentral lists this long non-coding RNA (1178 nucleotides) under Canis lupus familiaris (dog). Its description in RNAcentral is "lncRNA (ENSCAFG00000041341.2)". The record is from RNAcentral. Lineage: Eukaryota; Metazoa; Chordata; Mammalia; Carnivora; Canidae.